UACCCUUUUCGGUGAUCAGCUUGCAGAAUAUUCGUUCCUGGCUUUCUUUGAAGUUUUCCAGCUUUUACGGAGACUAAUCCAUACUUUCCUCUCUCGCUAGUCUCGUUUCUUACUCUUCCAAAAACUGAUUCCAUUUGUAAUUUAUUUUUUGUCAACUCAAAAGCUCACGAUUAUUGACCUUGUGAAUUGUUGUGGUAUAGUUGAGUAUGCAGUGUACACAGUGCAAGUGAGCAAAGUAAUCCACACAAACGUAUCAUGUCUAUAGACAUGAUUUCUCAAAAUCAUUUAAUUUUCUAAUUGUCGCCACUAUAAUCAUCUUUUAUCAUGUAAUAGACAAUCUUUUUAGGUGGUUAACUGCUCUAAUAUUUGAAGCUGAUUUAUCAAGCCGCAUUUGAUGGUUUCGCCUAAAAAGAUGUUUUAAUAGCAAAUUAAUACUACACUUUAAAAGGAAAAGGAACGUUCCACUAUGCAGUGGAAUUCAUCUCUUAAAGGGCCUUGAAAAGACAUAAGCCAAUUUUUGUAUCAUCGUUAAUGGCAUCAAUAGUAAAACAGAAUAAACCAGUUUUCACCAAUUAUACAUAGAAGAAAAUCAAGAUACAAUAAAUGUCUAUAAUCCUUUCAGGUUUUGAAGAGCAAAACAUAAUCGAGAAAAAGUAUGCGUCCUACACAAUGGUAUUUCACUAGAAAUAAUAGAAAAAUACAUUCAUACACUAUUUGAAAUUCACACCAUAUAACUCAUAAUAUACAGACUUAAGUUUUUUUUAUUAGAGACAGUCCAGUAGUCGAAUGGUCAAAUGAACUCUACAAAUGGUUAAUAUAAUAACAACUCAGGUAUUCAAUAUGAGAGAAAAUUCAAAAUAAACCUUAUUUUAAGAAAUAUUAUUAGUAAAAUUACUAAAUCACCAUCUGCCCUCUUCAAUUAGCGUCAAAUCACAGUUAAUAGAUUCGACCUUCAAAUACAACUG
Schizosaccharomyces pombe (fission yeast) is the source of this 965-nucleotide non-coding RNA. The record is from the annotation of a GenBank genome assembly. Lineage: Eukaryota; Fungi; Ascomycota; Schizosaccharomycetes; Schizosaccharomycetales; Schizosaccharomycetaceae.